This 329-nucleotide ribosomal RNA is filed under the name Salmonella enterica subsp. enterica serovar Kentucky. RNAcentral's name for it is "bacterial SSU rRNA". It matches the Rfam family "Bacterial small subunit ribosomal RNA", at positions 1 to 328 of the family's 1533-position model. Lineage: Bacteria; Pseudomonadati; Pseudomonadota; Gammaproteobacteria; Enterobacterales; Enterobacteriaceae. The record is from RNAcentral.
AAAUUGAAGAGUUUGAUCAUGGCUCAGAUUGAACGCUGGCGGCAGGCCUAACACAUGCAAGUCGAACGGUAGCACAGAGAGCUUGCUCUCGGGUGACGAGUGGCGGACGGGUGAGUAAUGUCUGGGAAACUGCCCGAUGGAGGGGGAUAACUACUGGAAACGGUAGCUAAUACCGCAUAACGUCGCAAGACCAAAGUGGGGGACCUUCGGGCCUCACACCAUCGGAUGUGCCCAGAUGGGAUUAGCUAGUAGGUGGGGUAACGGCUCACCUAGGCGACGAUCCCUAGCUGGUCUGAGAGGAUGACCAGCCACACUGGAACUGAGACACG